RNAcentral lists this long non-coding RNA (1950 nucleotides) under Equus asinus (donkey). RNAcentral's name for it is "lncRNA (ENSEASG00005037104.1)". The record is from RNAcentral. Lineage: Eukaryota; Metazoa; Chordata; Mammalia; Perissodactyla; Equidae.
CCAAGCUCUCCUGGCUGCCCAAUGUCCCCUUCGCUUGCAUAUCACUGACAUUCUGACAUCACACUGACAUCACACCAUGGCAACCAUUGGAUGAAGACCUCGUCUCCAGAGGACUCCUGUUAACACCAGACGUAUAAUGGGAGUGACACAGUGAUCUGCUGGCACUCUUGAAGACAUCAGCUUGGUCAAGAAUGUUGGCAGAGGCGCCUCAAGAAACAACUGCCUUCCACUCAUGAGCUGAAAUGUCAUUGCUGAAAGCGAGGCAGAUGAGUGGAAGUGGAAAGACCUGGGGCUGUGGGCGUCCUUGUGACCAGCCUGGCAAGGCCCACGCCUGCCCCAUGGAGACUCUGGGGCAGCCUUUGCAGAAGCAAACACUAUCAUCAGGUUUGCAUGAGUUCUGCUCCCUUGUUUUCUCUGCCUCUCGACUACCCACUUUAUUUCAGCCCUGCGGUGAAUUGUAUGUUUGGAGCGGAAGUAGGGGAGAACUCAGCCCCUUAGGAGUCAUGAGACUGUAAGAGGAUGCAUACUGCAGGGUACUUUUUCAGCUGAGAAACAGAAAACAUGGUCUGCUUUUUAAAUCUUACAAACAUACAGGUAAAGUCAACACGUACUUGUUGAUGUGGGGCUUUUGUAACCCAGCAACGUGUAGCAGCAAUCUGCCAGGAUACGCUGAAGCCCCAAUCCUGGGGAGCCACGCGCCAGUCAAGCGAAGAGCGGCUCCCUCUCCACGUCUCAUCUCGACGUUAAUUCCUCCUUGGUGAAACCUGCUUGGUAGAACCAUUCCUUUCCGUCCUGAGGCCAUGACAUCGGAUGUUAGACAAUGAGCAUGCUGAGACUGAGGAGAGCUAGUAGAGGCUGGCAUCAGCACGCUAUAUGCAAGUGAGGGAGAUGCACAAGGCUGAGAGUGAGCAUCACGUGAGACAAUGCACGUUCAAGCACGUUGCAUGAUGCCUGGCACACAGAGGACUAUCAAAACCGUAAGCUAUCCUGAUGGGGAGCCCGCCUCGCAGGCCCCCUUCCGGUGCAGCAGGAGGAUCUGGAAGAGCGCCAAUGCCCAGUCUCUGAGGAAGUGACGUCAGGCUGCAGCUUUGAGUCUUGAUCUGAAUCACAACCUCCCCAGGAACGAGGAGGCUGGAGAAUGAUUCCACCGCUACUUUCAGCCUCCCCUGGGUUGCAGCCAAAUAUGCUGAGAGGCUUAAAAUUCCAAACUGAUUUCUUCUCUCAGUGGUUUGCAAAAGCUGUGAGUUUGAAAAGAAACAAACUCAGACUUUGAGAGUGAGAGGGGGUAUUGGGCCAUGGGAGGUUGGUGGAAGUUUCUCCACAAAGCCUCAGGUGGCACAGGUUGUGUCCAGGCUUUAGUGCUGCACUGAGGGGACAGCAAGACUGCCCUAGCCAGAAGCCAAACUAAUCUUUGUUUCCUUCCUUGGGAUCCCAGGGACUAGAAAAAGCUGCUCUCCCAUGGAAGGGAAGGAGGUAGUCCCAGGAAACCUGUCCCUGAGGCCCGUGAGGCUGAUGGGACCACGCUGUGCCCCGGACUGGACAAGAGGCGUCCAGGGCUCUGGGCAUGGCCAGGCGUUCAGGCAAUUGCAUCUUUGGCCCAGGGAAGGCCCUUCGUCUCAUUCCCCAGAGGUACUUCUCCUCACCUAGAAAGCAAGGUGGCAUGACCAGCACUGCUACGCCUCCCAGUGUUGGAAGGAUGAGACUUGAGUUACAAACGCCACCACAGCGGUCUUAACAUCUGGCUUCCAAGGGGUCAAACUCUGAACAGUGCAGGGAGAGUAGGAGGCCAAAUGGGACCUCCUGCUGGGCAACCAGCUGUCUUCUUGAAACUCCUCCUGAAGCUGCAGCCAGCAGAGCAGCACAUCUCUGCAUGUGAGGACACCUCCCUUUCCUUCUCUCUCACUCUCACUGCCUCGAUUUGUACCUCCCGAAUAAAACAUCGGCACUAAA